This 253-nucleotide ribosomal RNA is filed under the name uncultured bacterium. Its description in RNAcentral is "partial 16S ribosomal RNA". It matches the Rfam family "Bacterial small subunit ribosomal RNA", at positions 524 to 776 of the family's 1533-position model. The record is from RNAcentral.
UACGUAGGGAGCGAGCGUUGUCCGGAAUUACUGGGUGUAAAGGGAGCGUAGGCGGGAUUGCAAGUUGGAUGUGAAAACUGCGGGCUCAACCCGGAGCGUGCAUUCAAAACUGCGAUUCUUGAGUGAAGUAGAGGCAAGCGGAAUUCCUAGUGUAGCGGUGAAAUGCGUAGAUAUUAGGAGGAGCACCAGUGGCGAAGGCGGCCUGCUGGGCUUUUACUGACGCUGAGGCUCGAAAGUGUGGGGAGCAAACAGG